RNAcentral lists this transfer RNA (74 nucleotides) under Anguilla anguilla (European eel). Its description in RNAcentral is "tRNA-OTHER". The record is from RNAcentral. Lineage: Eukaryota; Metazoa; Chordata; Actinopteri; Anguilliformes; Anguillidae.
GGCAGGGUAGUAUAAUGGCUAAGGGGUUGGUCUUGUACCCCUAAAGGUCGCAGGUUCGAUUCCUGGGUAGGACA